GACGAACGCUGGCGGCGUGCUUAACACAUGCAAGUCGAACGAAAACUCCCUGCUUUGUUGCGGUGCUCGACUUACCAACGGGGGAGUUACACGUGAGUAACCUACACUUGACUUUGGGAUAUCUUCAUGAAACUGGGUCUAAUACGGCCUAGGAGCUCCUGCUGCAUGGUGGGCGUUGGAAAGUUUCGUCGGUUGGUGAUGGACUCGCGUUGGAUUAGCUAGUUGGUAGGGUAGUAGCCUAGCAAGGAGAGGACGCCUAGCUGGGCGGAGAGGAUGACCAGCCACACUGGAGCUGAGACACGGCCUAGACUCCUACGGGAGGCAGCAGUGGGGAAUAUUGGACAAGGGGCGAAGGCCUGAUCCAGCAAUGCCGCGUGAGUGAUGAAGGCCUUAGGGUUGUAAAGCUCUUUUACCCGGGAUGAUAAUGACAGUACCGGGAGAAUAAGCACCGGCUAACUCCGUG
This 463-nucleotide ribosomal RNA is filed under the name uncultured bacterium. RNAcentral describes it as "partial 16S ribosomal RNA". It matches the Rfam family "Bacterial small subunit ribosomal RNA", at positions 28 to 507 of the family's 1533-position model. The record is from RNAcentral.